RNAcentral lists this ribosomal RNA (253 nucleotides) under uncultured bacterium. RNAcentral describes it as "partial 16S ribosomal RNA". It matches the Rfam family "Bacterial small subunit ribosomal RNA", at positions 524 to 776 of the family's 1533-position model. The record is from RNAcentral.
UACGAAGGGGGCUAGCGUUGUUCGGAAUUACUGGGCGUAAAGGGCGCGUAGGCGGUGUGUCAAGUCAGGCGUGAAAGCCCCGGGCUCAACCUGGGAACCGCGCUUGAGACUGGCACGCUCGAGUUCGGGAGAGGAUGGUGGAAUUCCCAGUGCAGAGGUGAAAUUCGUAGAUAUUGGGAAGAACACCGAUGGCGAAGGCAGCCAUCUGGACCGACACUGACGCUGAGGCGCGAAAGCGUGGGGAGCAAACAGG